RNAcentral lists this ribosomal RNA (460 nucleotides) under uncultured bacterium. Its description in RNAcentral is "partial 16S ribosomal RNA". It matches the Rfam family "Bacterial small subunit ribosomal RNA", at positions 338 to 795 of the family's 1533-position model. The record is from RNAcentral.
CCUACGGGUGGCAGCAGUGAGGAAUAUUGGUCAAUGGGCGGAAGCCUGAACCAGCCAAGUAGCGUGCAGGAUGACGGCCCUACGGGUUGUAAACUGCUUUUAUACGGGAAUAACGCGCCUUACGUGUAGGGCUUUGCACGUACCGUAUGAAUAAGGACCGGCUAAUUCCGUGCCAGCAGCCGCGGUAAUACGGAAGGUCCGGGCGUUAUCCGGAUUUAUUGGGUUUAAAGGGAGCGUAGGCCGCAUGUCAAGCGUGCUGUGAAAUGUCCGGGCUCAACUCGGGCCUUGCAGCGCGUACUGGCGUGCUAGAGUCCGCGGAAGGCAGGCGGAAUUCGUGGUGUAGCGGUGAAAUGCUUAGAUAUGACGAAGAACACCGAGUGCGAAGGCAGCUUGCUGCAGCGGAACUGACGCUGAUGCUCGAAAGCGCGGGGAUCGAACAGGAUUAGAUACCCGAGUAGUC